This is a long non-coding RNA of Pezoporus flaviventris, 493 nucleotides long. RefSeq lists it as uncharacterized. The transcript has 3 exons. The record is from RefSeq and is a predicted model, not a curated record. NCBI's taxonomy places the organism in Eukaryota, Metazoa, Chordata, Aves, Psittaciformes, Psittacidae.
GACGACCCGGGUCCGGUCGGGAGCGCGCUGUCGGUGUCCCAGUUCUCCUCUUCAAAGCCCUGGACCAUCAGUGACCCCCACACCCUCCAUGUGCAGGGAGAGGUGACCCCCCUGGAAGGGUGUCUGGGACAGAGGAGUUGAGUUUUGGGGGGCACACACAAAGGGUGCGAGGCGCGCAGCACCCCCUCACGGGCAGCCCGCCGCUUUGGAGGUCCAGGAUUGCGGAUUCCAGCCCCAAACACCUCCACCGCGCAGGAACGAGCAGACCAAAGUUCCCGCACAACGCUUUCGGAGGCGCGCAGACAUGUCGGGACCUCCGCCGGGCGCUGCGCACCCCUCCGCGCAACAUCCGCCUCCCGUAAACCCGAGCCCGCCCGCUCCGCACCCCUUCCGCAUCUCUCCGCGCCGGCCGUCCCGCAGGGAAAACCGCCCCCCCCCAACGCCUUUUCUGGGGCUGAGAGCGGAGCAGGGCCCGGUGCGGACGCAACAGCGG